GUGGGGAAUAUUGGACAAUGGGCGAAAGCCUGAUCCAGCCAUGCCGCGUGUGUGAAGAAGGUCUUCGGAUUGUAAAGCACUUUAAGUUGGGAGGAAGGGCAGUAAGUUAAUACCUUGCUGUUUUGACGUUACCAACAGAAUAAGCACCGGCUAACUUCGUGCCAGCAGCCGCGGUAAUACGAAGGGUGCAAGCGUUAAUCGGAAUUACUGGGCGUAAAGCGCGCGUAGGUGGUUUUGUAAGUUGGAGGUGAAAUCCCCGGGCUCAACCUGGGAACUGCCUCCAAAACUGCAUGACUAGAGUACGGUAGAGGGUAGUGGAAUUUCCUGUGUAGCGGUGAAAUGCGUAGAUAUAGGAAGGAACACCAGUCGCGAAGGCGACUACCUGGACUGAUACUGACACUGAGGUGCGAAAGCGUGGGGAGCAAACAGGAUUAGAAACCCGAGAGUCC
This 449-nucleotide ribosomal RNA is filed under the name uncultured bacterium. RNAcentral's name for it is "bacterial SSU rRNA". It matches the Rfam family "Bacterial small subunit ribosomal RNA", at positions 354 to 796 of the family's 1533-position model. The record is from RNAcentral.